GACAGAGGGUGCUAGCGUUGUUCGGAAUUACUGGGCGUAAAGGGCGCGUAGGCGGUCCGCUAAGUUCGGCGUGAAAUCCCCUGGCUCAACUGGGGAACUGCGCUGGAUACUGGUGGACUCGAGUACCGGAGAGGAGAGUGGAAUUCCUGGUGUAGCGGUGAAAUGCGUAGAUAUCAGGAAGAACACCCGUGGCUAAGGCGGCUCUUUGGUCUGUAACUGACGCUGAGGCGCGAAAGCGUGGGGAGCGAACAGG
This 253-nucleotide ribosomal RNA is filed under the name uncultured bacterium. RNAcentral describes it as "partial 16S ribosomal RNA". It matches the Rfam family "Bacterial small subunit ribosomal RNA", at positions 524 to 776 of the family's 1533-position model. The record is from RNAcentral.